Molecule: long non-coding RNA, 623 nt
Organism: Chinchilla lanigera (long-tailed chinchilla)
Lineage: Eukaryota; Metazoa; Chordata; Mammalia; Rodentia; Chinchillidae
Exons: 3
Source: RefSeq, a predicted model, not a curated record
AUUAUACGAUAGCACUUUAUAUAUUUUAUUGUUUUUAUCCUAGGACACUUCUGUUAUCCACUGUCAGCAAGAAGCUCAUAAGCUGUGACUGAAAGAUAGCACGGGAAGUAAGGAAUGGAAGGUCAACAACACUGCUGCAAUGAAGACUGGCCCCAUAGAAGGCCACAUCCGCAGAGCACCCAGCAGCCUGUCAUCAAACUGGAGUAAGGGAUCAGGCACCAUGAACACAGUUCAGGUCAUGGCUCCUAGACCCAUGUUGCGGAUUCUGAUAAAUGGAUGUUGACAAACCUCUCUGGAGGUUACAACUAGACAGUAUCCUUAAGCCACAUACCCGUAAAACAAAAUCUGGGAUUCUGGCCUGAACAGUAGACAUUUAUAUCCAAAAUGUGAGGACACAAAAAUGGGAGUGAAAGUAUUAUUGAACAGUGUAAGUCAAUGAGUAGCUGACUAAUAGCUCUACAUAAUUUCAAUAACUGCAAGCACUGUACAUGGAAGGAAACUAGUUUUGGUGAGGAUGCACUGUCCUCAUCCCAUUUGUGCCACUAACGAACUAUGUUACUCUCUCCAAUACUGUUUCACUUCUGUAGGUCCGACUCUCGGUCUGUAGGCAGUAAUAAAAACAA